Molecule: ribosomal RNA, 467 nt
Filed under: uncultured bacterium
Lineage: Bacteria
Description: partial 16S ribosomal RNA
Rfam family: Bacterial small subunit ribosomal RNA
Source: RNAcentral
GACGAACGCUGGCGGCGUGCUUAACACAUGCAAGUCGAACGGAAAGGCCCUGCUUUUGUGGGGUGCUCGAGUGGCGAACGGGUGAGUAACACGUGAGUAACCUGCCCUUGACUUUGGGAUAACUUCAGGAAACUGGGGCUAAUACCGGAUAGGAGCUCCUGCUGCAUGGUGGGGGUUGGAAAGUUUCGGCGGUUGGGGAUGGACUCGCGGCUUAUCAGCUUGUUGGUGGGGUAGUGGCUUACCAAGGCUUUGACGGGUAGCCGGCCUGAGAGGGUGACCGGCCAAAUGGGGACGGAGAUACGCCCCAGCCCCCUCGGGGGGGCAGCGGGGGGGAAUAUUGCACAAUGGGGGGAAGCCUGAUGCAGCAACGCCGGGGGGGGGAUGACGGCCUUGGGGUUGUAAACCGCUUUCGCCUGGGACGAAGCGGGAGUGACGGUAAUGGGUAAAGAAGCACCGGCUAACUACGU